This 99-nucleotide ribosomal RNA is filed under the name Neohodgsonia mirabilis. RNAcentral describes it as "4.5S ribosomal RNA". Lineage: Eukaryota; Viridiplantae; Streptophyta; Marchantiopsida; Neohodgsoniales; Neohodgsoniaceae. The record is from RNAcentral.
UAAGGUCACGGCAAGACUAGCCGUUAUUCUACGAUAGGUGCCAAGGGAAGUGCAGUCAGUAUAUAGCUGAGGCAUCCUAACAGACCGAGAGAUUUGAAC